GGAAUAUUGCACAAUGGGGGAAACCCUGAUGCAGCCAUGCCGCGUGUGUGAAGAAGGCCUUCGGGUUGUAAAGCACUUUCAGUAGGGAGGAAAGGGUGUAGUUUAAUACGCUAUAUCUGUGACGUUACCUACAGAAGAAGGACCGGCUAACUCCGUGCCAGCAGCCGCGGUAAUACGGAGGGUCCGAGCGUUAAUCGGAAUUACUGGGCGUAAAGCGUGCGCAGGCGGUUUGUUAAGCGAGAUGUGAAAGCCCUGGGCUCAACCUAGGAAUAGCAUUUCGAACUGGCGAACUAGAGUCUUGUAGAGGGGGGUAGAAUUCCAGGUGUAGCGGUGAAAUGCGUAGAGAUCUGGAGGAAUACCGGUGGCGAAGGCGGCCCCCUGGACAAAGACUGACGCUCAUGCACGAAAGCGUGGGGAGCAAACAGGAUUAGAUACCCUGG
Molecule: ribosomal RNA, 440 nt
Filed under: uncultured Shewanella sp.
Lineage: Bacteria; Pseudomonadati; Pseudomonadota; Gammaproteobacteria; Alteromonadales; Shewanellaceae
Description: bacterial SSU rRNA
Rfam family: Bacterial small subunit ribosomal RNA
Source: RNAcentral